CUAAAGAUAAACCUAAUCACUUCAAACGUAAGGUGAGAAAAUCACAGAAAAUAGGAAACCUAAUCCUCUCAUUUUAUCGUUCUUUUCAUAACAGAUCCACUUUGAUCCUCUCGACCGUGGUUGGGUUAUUAGAUUCGAGUCCUGAUGAUUUCGAGAUCGGGUUUCAUCUGAGAUUUCUGUUUCUAUCUAUAUGGCUUGAGAGGACAAACGAUUUUGAUGGGGAAACCGAAAAUAAACCUAUCCAACAGACAACUACAUCGGAUUGAGUUAAUGUUGCAUAGCGGAAGUCUUGCGACGAUCUUUCCACUCUUUGUCACCUUGCAUUGCUUCUGAUUGUCUAGGCCUGAGUAAUUUUCCAGGGAAAGCUUGUCUUUGAUGUUUCGGUUUGGUAUGAUUGAUCAAUCCUUGAACACUGCUAAUAUAAGUAACUCUGUUUGCUUUUGAAAUUAUCAAUUGUCUGCAAGGAAAAUCAAACAAUAUUUUUGACUGUCAUGUCUGCAUCGUUGUCGGGUUUUAGUAUAGUAAGACCUUCCGGAGAUGUUACACGUGAAAGCGCUACAUACAGUUGACCGUGGCUAAAAACUGGUUGAGGUGCAGCUCCAUCUCCUACACUUAGCAGCCAUUCCGCAAAGCUUUCUUGUGAUUCAUCAAGUCUCAUGUUCUGUUUGAGAUCGAAGACGUUGCAGAAGUCCCACAAGUGUGACUGUUUUAUUGAUGCUAAAACUGCAUCAGCUCUAGAACCUUGUGGAAUUAUCGGUAGCGUUUGCCUGAAGUCUCCACCUAAUAGUACAGUUUUGCCUCCAAAAGGUUGGUCUUUAACUUUUGGAUCUUUAAUGGACAUCAAAUCUCGCAGUGUUCUGUCAAGGGCUUCAAAUGCAUGCCGAUUUGUCAUAGGUAAAAACAAUGCUGCGAUGCCAGAGGAAGCAACUGGGAGCACAAUUUUUUUUUCUGAUCGCAACUUAGAAAUAAUGGUGUUGUAAAGGCUUACGUUGAUGAAUGUGGAAGGAAAAAGUCCUCCACGUGGCUUCACAAGCAGAUACAUAUCGGCAUUCAAGGUACUCUUGUAUCUCAUCUCUUGGUCUUUUCGUUGAUACACUAUCUUGUGUGUGUUUUGAAGCCUCGGGACCUUUUUCUAUCACAAUGGUAGCUUUGUCGACUCCUUUUGUAAUGUAUUUGAAAAGAUACUUGACAGCAUUUGUUCUGUUGCACCACUCCACGUUUAUAUGAGCUUGAUAUUUUUUUAAAAUAGCUAAAUUGUGUGGAACAACAUAGCGAUUAUCCAACUUUGUUUUUCCUUUGAUCACAAAGUUACCUUCAUCUUGCCGUCGCCGGUAAAUUAUAUAGCCAGAUUUGUCGAUUGAGGUUUGAUCAGUAUAUUGCCUUGGGUAUCUUUUUGAACAUUCUUUAUUUCUCAUGCAAGGAGAUUUUGGUCGAUCCAAUCCACAUGGACCGUGCAUCAUGUGUUUCUCCACAAGCUCAAACCCUUGUUGGUCAUUCUCUUUAUGCGGUAGUUCGGCAGAGAUUAUUGAGUCAACUUCAUUUGUUGUUGGAAUUCUUGAUGCACCAUCCAACCAAAUGAGCAUACUUUUCGAUCAUGUAUCUAGGGCUUCCAGUAAAACUUGAAGCUACCACAUAAGGUAUUUCAGUGUGGAAUCCAUAUUCGCCGUAAGGAAAUAGCAGUGGAUACUGUAAAGACAUAUACAAAGGAUGAUCAUCUCGUAUUUCUUGCAAAUGUUUUGACUGAUAUUGUAAUAUGACAUCUUUGUAACCAGUAGUAGUUGACAAAUCACCGACUAUCAAACCAGCAACCUCAUUGGUGUUAGGCAUAUCAUAUUGUCUACCUUUCCCUUGAUUUGCUACCGGUCUUAUAGUAAACUCUUUGGCACCA
Brassica napus (rape) is the source of this 1888-nucleotide long non-coding RNA. RefSeq lists it as uncharacterized. The transcript is spliced from 8 exons. NCBI's taxonomy places the organism in Eukaryota, Viridiplantae, Streptophyta, Magnoliopsida, Brassicales, Brassicaceae. The record is from RefSeq and is a predicted model, not a curated record.